Molecule: long non-coding RNA, 278 nt
Filed under: Elaeis guineensis (African oil palm)
Lineage: Eukaryota; Viridiplantae; Streptophyta; Magnoliopsida; Arecales; Arecaceae
Description: long non-coding RNA (EGUI_LNC043087)
Source: RNAcentral
UGGCACCCCAUUGUUAAUGAGCUUAAUUCCUUGUUGAUUAGCUCUAUCUUCUCUUUGAUUGCGAUAGGAUUAGGUUUAUUUUAAACUUAAACUCUUAUCAGAUAAAAGUCCAAGAUCAUCCAAACUCUAUCCUAACCACUUGGCCACCAAAUAUAAAAGGACAUGGGUCUUGGGCCUGGAGAAGAAUUAGAGAUCAUCCAUCCAUCUUGUAUUGCCACCCUAAUUCCUCUUGCUUCUGCCUAAAUCCACAUGCCCCACCUCCUCCUGGUUGGCCACCG